CAGCAGCCACGGUAAUACGGAGGGAGCUAGCGUUGUUCGGAAUUACUGGGCGUAAAGCGCGCGUAGGCGGUUACUCAAGUCAGAGGUGAAAGCCCGGGGCUCAACCCCGGAACUGCUUUUGAAACUAGGUGACUAGAAUCUUGGAGAGGUCAGUGGAAUUCCGAGUGUAGAGGUGAAAUUCGUAGAUAUUCGGAAGAACACCAGUGGUGAAGGCGACUGACUGGACAAGUAUUGACGCUGAGGUGCGAAAGCGUGGGGAGCAAACAGGAUUAGAUACCCCAGUAGUCCCUGUCUCUUAUAC
This 301-nucleotide ribosomal RNA is filed under the name uncultured bacterium. RNAcentral describes it as "partial 16S ribosomal RNA". It matches the Rfam family "Bacterial small subunit ribosomal RNA", at positions 509 to 807 of the family's 1533-position model. The record is from RNAcentral.